GCCCAGAAGCGGGGGAUAACACCUGGAAACAGAUGCUAAUACCGCAUAACAACUUGGACCGCAUGGUCCGAGCUUGAAAGAUGGCUUCGGCUAUCACUUUUGGAUGGUCCCGCGGCGUAUUAGCUAGAUGGUGGGGUAACGGCUCACCAUGGCAAUGAUACGUAGCCGACCUGAGAGGGUAAUCGGCCACAUUGGGACUGAGACACGGCCCAAACUCCUACGGGAGGCAGCAGUAGGGAAUCUUCCACAAUGGACGAAAGUCUGAUGGAGCAACGCCGCGUGAGUGAAGAAGGGUUUCGGCUCGUAAAACUCUGUUGUUAAAGAAGAACAUAUCUGAGAGUAACUGUUCAGGUAUUGACGGUAUUUAACCAGAAAGCCACGGCUAACUACGUGCCAGCAGCCGCGGUAAUACGUAGGUGGCAAGCGUUGUCCGGAUUUAUUGGGCGUAAAGCGAGCGCAGGCGGUUUUUUAAGUCUGAUGUGAAAGCCUUCGGCUCAACCGAAGAAGUGCAUCGGAAACUGGGAAACUUGAGUGCAGAAGAGGACAGUGGAACUCCAUGUGUAGCGGUGAAAUGCGUAGAUAUAUGGAAGAACACCAGUGGCGAAGGCGGCUGUCUGGUCUGUAACUGACGCUGAGGCUCGAAAGUAUGGGUAGCAAACAGGAUUAGAUACCCUGGUAGUCCAUACCGUAAAACGAUGAACGCUAAGUGUUGGAGGGUUUCCGCCCUUCAGUGCUGCAGCUAACGCAUUAAGCAUU
RNAcentral lists this ribosomal RNA (756 nucleotides) under uncultured bacterium. RNAcentral describes it as "bacterial SSU rRNA". It matches the Rfam family "Bacterial small subunit ribosomal RNA", at positions 128 to 868 of the family's 1533-position model. The record is from RNAcentral.